CCAGCAACACCACCAGGACCAGUACUGGUGCUGGCACUAACACGAGCACUUCAACAACAACAGCCAUCAAUGACGCCAUCAGCAGCACAACCAGCAACGAUGCCUGCAACAGCACCACCACCUUACACCCACCCCAAUACAUCAACAAGCACGAGAGCCAAUUACAACAUCUACACCAACAAGAAGAUCACCAUCACUGUACUCAACCUGUCUCACCGAUGUUCGCCAUUUCUGGUAGCGCUUGAGACACAGUCAGAUGUUGAAUGCACUUGGCGAUCUCUGUGACGAGGAUGACUGGCUGAUGUUUGACCAGUUAACAGCUCCAUCAGGGUCACUCCCAAACUGUAGACGUCCAUCUCUUUGCUUUUACUUCAUGAUCUCUCGUCCAUUCAUUAAGGAGCCAUGUACUCUGGACUGAGUGAUCCAACCAGCUGACAGUGGGACAUCGAUGAAUCUCGCUGCCCCUAAAUUGCCCAGCUUGGCCGACAUGAGGCGAGUUACGAGAAUGUUGGCCAGACAGAUGUCGCCGUGGAGAACGAGACGUGGCUUCAAAGUCCAGCAGAACCGAUUGGACCAACCAGAUGUGACCAAAUUCAUGGAGAUCGUAGAGAAUGUGAAGCACAGGGAGAUGGGAGAGCAGCAGGAGUGUCCAUAACAUACACGUGGUGAGCAUGGACAACUCAGACCCCUCCGUCUACCGGAAAGAGUCAUGCAUCUGCUGCAUAUGUUGUUCCUGUACGAUCAACACACGACAAGCAUGACCCUGCAACCUAUUAAAGGGAUACAGACAGAACACAUGAAAAAGCUAACUUGGUGAAUAUGUGCACAUGAAAAUGAUGUCUGGGUAUGCCAGGCCUGUGCUCGAGUUUGUGUUGCAGUCAGUUUGUGAUAAUAGUGCAAAUACUGAUUAGAUAGAUUAGAGUAUAACAAUUAUUGCUGUACUUGUGUUGUGAUAUAUACCAAUGACUGACAAGGA
Molecule: long non-coding RNA, 976 nt
Organism: Corticium candelabrum
Lineage: Eukaryota; Metazoa; Porifera; Homoscleromorpha; Homosclerophorida; Plakinidae
Exons: 3
Source: RefSeq, a predicted model, not a curated record